Molecule: ribosomal RNA, 1122 nt
Filed under: Triticum aestivum (bread wheat)
Lineage: Eukaryota; Viridiplantae; Streptophyta; Magnoliopsida; Poales; Poaceae
Description: partial small subunit ribosomal RNA
Source: RNAcentral
AUGGCGGCGACGAAGAAACCCAAGGCCAAGCCUCAAAAACCAGCCAAGGUGACGGCUGCGAGGAUAGCAAAGAUGAUGGCUGAAGGGGACGAGAUGAUAAGAAACAUGACGCCUGAAGAAAGGGCCAGGCUUAUUGCCGAGUCCAUGGCUAAAAAAUCGGCCGAGGAAGCUGCUGCGGCGAAAGAUGAAGUUGGAGAUGACGAGGAGGAGACUGCACCGACACAAUGCGAGGAAGAAUGGCUCGCUGCCAAGUUUCGCUCUAUGUGGAGAAGAUACCUAGCUCCCUGUGGUGUUACCUUCGACCAAACCACAUCUAUCCCUUCCAUGCGUCAUGUGAAUCCUGCUUCGGAUUGCUCGGCCAAGGCCAUGGACACUCUGCAGAUUAUGUCAGUCAAAGUUGCAGCAAUCAACGGGGGCUUGCACUGGCCACUGCAGGUGUUUGGUAUCGUUGCCGCGCGUGAUUACUUGGAUCGUAAGCGCAAUAUUAUUUUCCACCGGCCGAGGACUGACUGCCAAACCAUCACCCAGGAUGAUUGCUACCUAGCACUGUCAGGUCCGACCCGUGCCAUUGUCGUGUCAUAUGAUCCUACAUACCUUGAGGUAUCGCUCAAAGUGAAGGGCGCUACUGAAUCUGAGGAUAAAGAUUUAAGUGCUCUUGUUGUGGUGUUUAGAGCUGGAGCCUGUCCUCAAAGUGUCUUCCCUAGCAGGCUUAGCACGCUGGAAAUUAAUUUUGAUCACAUUUAUCACUCGGUGGAGGCCACGGUCUUUAUAAGAAUCAUUGGCGGGUCGUGGCCGGAUGGCUUUCGGGGUGUAUUUAGUGCUGCCUCCAGUAGGGAUGACACCCUGCAAGUCAAGUUACUUGACUUUGAAGAUGGUGGGUUGCCUGUUGACGCUAAUGGUGUGAUCACGCUCACACGACAUGUGGUCUCUGCUGCGCUUCAGAGGAACCUGAAGGUUUCUGUAAUGGCAUUUCCAGUUAAGGAGGGAUUUGCGGCAGAGGCCAGCGAAGCAGUUUUAGAACCUCAUAGAGCCGGUGUAAGCCCCCCAGGAGUCAAUCUCUGUGUUGGCUCGUGUAGUAUGGAAGUUCGUGUUGCUUGGUCCUGUUUCUGUUGUGAGUGGUGA